GCAGACAGCCCGGCGAACCGCGCAAUGCGCUUCUUCUGCCUGCAGCAGAGAAAAGGAAAGAAAACUCCGCAGGGGCUCCGUUGGCUUCUCCACGAGUGACAACCAUGUUUUCCCAGAUAGAAGACCGGAGCCCUGCUCCUUUGCGAUCCGCCGAGGGCUGCAGAGAGCAUCCUCAUCCAUUUGGGCACCCCUGCCCAGGAAGAGCCCGGCCAUCCCUUUCCGGACUGGAUCCUUAAGAGGUGAAUUUUCUUCCGUGGAUUCCGAUUUGCUCCGUCUGACCAGCCUAGGCAAUCCAGCAUCGCGUGGUACCAGUGCCGCUGGGCACACUGGCUUCACGCCGGCUCCGCCUCACCAGCAAGCGCAUUCCCAGGUGGUCAGGCUCAGGAUGGACCAUGAGCUUUCAAAAAGGAAAAAGGUGGAAAUCCUCAACUAUGCUGCCAUCUGAAUAAGUGUUUCUUUGUAGAUGCACAGAGUCAAGGAAAAUUACAUCCCUGCAUUAUGUAAUGUACCAACAACGCACUUACCCACUGUUUUAAUCUAGGUUAUUCUUGAAAGCAGAGCCUGAGACAAAGGUAGACACAUUCUAUUUAUGAGUCUAACACCCAGGAGCAGGAAUGAGAGAUAGGGGAGUGAACUGGGGAAAAGGGAAACUAAGUCCGAGCAAAACCAGAUACUGCUCUUAUCAAGUGGUCCACCCCUAUUAAUGGCUACAUAAUGCAGAACUUUCUCAGGAUUCUUCUUAAACUUUAUCUCAGAACUGUCUGCCUCAGGGAGAAAGGAGAAGUAUUUCUCCAUCAGCAGCCACCUCCUGUGUGUUGAGGGCUGCUCCUUUGGGGCAUUAACCCACUGCCUCCACCACCCCAACCCUCUGGGCUGCAAAGAGCUAGCUGACAGUCCAGCUGGUACCUUAGCAUCACACAUUGCUGCAUCAGAGAGGUCUUAAGACAGGAAGCUAGAGUCUUGGUGCAUGCUCGAAGUGAGACGGUGUCAGCACAGAGCAGGGUAAAAUCUUCCCGUUAACUCUUCACCAGAGCUAUGACUGGAAUCAGAGGUUGAAAAGAUGUGAGACUGUACCCAAGAAGCAUCUUAUAAGCCUACGUAAUAUACUGUUAGACUCAUCGAAAUCUAUUUCCUCCCUUCUUUAUAAUCAAAACUUCAGUGUCCAGAAUAAAGUUGGCAGAAGGGUUAAAUUGGAAAGUUAAAUGUACUAGAAGGUGUACAUUUAUAAGUUUUGACCUUGAGUCGUGUUCAAGGAGAAAGUGACAUUGGAACUUGGAAAAUUUAAAAAUGAUUCUACUUGAAAAAUUUGACCAUUGCAUAGAAAUAUUAGCUAUCGUCUAAUCUUUUGUAAUCUUAGAAACAAUCGUGAAUUGUUUGGUGAAAAAUGAAAAAAUAACCAUUUCUUAUGUCUCCGUGACCUUUAUAGACCAAUGUCACCAACUUUUCCUAAGGUAAUUGUUUCCUACUGUCAAAUAGCUCUAGUGAUAUAAAUCUUAACAAUCAAUGAAGGGAAAACUGGUGGAAACAUAGGAGGAAAAAUACUGGGAUAAUUUUCAUCACAAAGUAUUGGCAUUAACAUUGGUUAGAAUAGGGGAGAAACUGCAUGACUUGACAACUGGACAUUCCUGUAUGUUGUAUGAGGCCCUGUCUUAACAGAAAUAGUGAUGUCAUCAUCAUCCUCUCUUAUUUGGUCUUGAAUUGCCACCAAUCGGAUAAAACCUUUGAAUUAUUUAACUCAAUAUAUGUUAAGUUUCUACUAUGUGCUGUGUAUUGGUACUAUAAAUAUGAAUAAGACAUAAGAUAUUACAUUCAAAAACAUCAGAAUACAUGUUCUUUUAAAGUAUACCCCAAAACAUUUACCAUGUGUUCUGGGGCGCAUGUUAGGCUGGAUCACAAAUCAAGUCUCAAGAAUUUCAAAAGAUUGAAAUCAUAUAGAGUAUGAAUUAAACCAGAAAUCAAGUACAUAAAGGUAACAAAAAAUUUCCAAAAUGCAUUAAUUUAAGGAACAUACACCUCAUGACCCAUGAGCCAAAAAAUAAAUCACGGCAAAAUUGCAAAAAUAUUUUGAAAUGAAUUUUAAAGAAAAUACUUAGCAUAUUAAAUACUUAGCAUAUUAAAGCUCUAAGUACAUAUGUUAGAAAUUUUACCGAAAGGUUGGCUAUCAGUGUUUCCAGAAGCCAGGGAAAAAGUUUAUACAAUUUGAUCGCUGAGGCAGGGAAACAAAGUGAGACCUCCGAUCGCCCUGCCUUUCUGAGGUGAGCACUCUGGAUCCCAUCGCAGGAGAUCAGAGUCUUGCUGAGUUGAGGAGAGGAAGAUUGGAGUUGAUACUGAGAUAGCUUGAAUUUUCAGGACAAAGUAUCAACAAGGAGGAAGGUAGACAAAAAAAUCCAGAAAUCUAUGUAGAGACCCCAUUGUGUACAUUGCGGAACACUAAGCCUAACAAUUCUCAAAAUUAGCGUGAGAUUGGGAAAUAUCUAAUUUCCAUCCAGCCACAGUGGAGAGUCCUGACUGAAAACCAGGCAUUCGCUAAAGAUCCCAGAAAGGUUGUGUGUUACAUACGUAGGGCUAAACUAUCCUGACUAAAAACUACACUACACUUGCUCCUCACCCCCACAAAAAGCUUAAAAACAAGCCUCAAUAGUAUAAAGCUGAUCUGUAAGUAACUAAACUACCUGCAGAACAAAGUCCAAAUUUAUUAGUUCCAGUACUCCAAAAAAAACACAUGUAAAAAAAAAAUAGAUUUACAAGACAUUUAUUUGGGGAAAAAAAGAAUGCCUGAGGGUUGAAAUGGAGAGGAAGCCAGAGAGACAGAGUCCUCAGAAUACAUAAAAUUUCUGGCCUCCAUGGAGGUGUGAUGGUUAAUUUUAUGCAUGUCAACUUCGCUGGGCCACAGGAUGCCCCAUAUAUGAUCGAACAUUAUUUCUGGUUGUGUUCAUGAAGCUUUUUCUGGAGGAAAUUCGCAUUUGAAUUGAUGGACUGAAUAAAGCAGAUUGCAGUCCCCAGUGUGGAUGGGCUUGAUCCAGUCUUCUAAGGACCCAAAUAAAAUAGGUGGAGGAAGCUUGAAUUUUCUGCCUGACUGUGGCGCUGGGACACCCAUCUUCUCCUGCCCUUGAACUGGGACUGACACCAUCAGUGCUCCUGGUUCUCAGACCUUCGGACAGCAGACUUGGGGCCUUCUCGGCCUCCAUUAUUGUCUGCUUUUAGAUAUUUAACGGGAGAGGAAAAGAGAAAAUAUGAUUAAAGCCUUUGAAAGUCCAUUUCCAAGAAAUAAAAACUGCAGUAGGAAUUCUACAAAACUGAAAAAUCUUCAGGACUGGAAGAUCUAUCCAGAAAAGCCCAGUGGAUUAUAAUAACUUAUUAAAAUAUUUGUUUGGCAAGCCACUGACUAAUACCACUUUAAGAUAUGAAUGCAUUACCAAAAAAAAUUGGAGUGAGUAGUUUUUACAAGUCUUUGAAAUAAUCAUAUUUGUAUUUUGACACUAAUUUGAAACAAGGAGCUGGCUUGAAAUAUUAAACCUAAGUGAUCAGAGACAAUGAGCUAUCAGACUGCAUGAUCAACGUAGAGCAAUCUCCACAUAAGAUGAGAUGCAUGCAGCCUCUACAAAUUUGGCUUGGGGAGGAGUUUGCUUCGCUCGCUUGAAUAAGCCACUGUCUAUGGCUCACAAGGGUCCCGUUCUUAAUGAGGUGGUGCGUAGCAGCAACACACUGUGAAUCCAAAUAGCAGAUGGCAACACUGUUGAGUAGGCUGGCAGUCUGAUGUC
RNAcentral lists this long non-coding RNA (3761 nucleotides) under Homo sapiens (human). RNAcentral's name for it is "non-protein coding DUBR:23". Lineage: Eukaryota; Metazoa; Chordata; Mammalia; Primates; Hominidae. The record is from RNAcentral.